RNAcentral lists this unclassified non-coding RNA (400 nucleotides) under uncultured fungus. Its description in RNAcentral is "sequence contains ITS1". Lineage: Eukaryota; Fungi. The record is from RNAcentral.
CCGUCAAUUCAUUUAAGUUUCAGUCUUGCGACCGUACUCCCCAGGCGGCGAACUUAACGCGUUAGCUUCGACACUGAGCUCCGAGUUGAGCCCAACAUCCAGUUCGCAUCGUUUAGGGCGUGGACUACCAGGGUAUCUAAUCCUGUUUGCUCCCCACGCUUUCGUGCCUCAGCGUCAGUGCUGGUCCAGAGGGUCGCCUUCGCCACUGAUGUUCCUCCCGAUCUCUACGCAUUUCACCGCUACACCGGGAAUUCCACCCUCCUCUACCGCACUCUAGCUUCCCAGUAUCGAGUGCCAUUCCCAGGUUGAGCCCAGGGCUUUCACAUCCGACUUAAGAAACCGCCUACGCACGCUUUACGCCCAAUAAUUCCGAAUAACGCUUGCCCCCUCUGUAUUACCG